GCGCCGGUGGUGUAAAGGCGUACAGCAUUCCCGCUCGGUCAGAGGUAGGUGCGGGUUCGAGUCCCGCCUGGCGCU
Molecule: non-coding RNA, 75 nt
Organism: Heligmosomoides polygyrus
Lineage: Eukaryota; Metazoa; Nematoda; Chromadorea; Rhabditida; Heligmosomidae
Source: Rfam